RNAcentral lists this ribosomal RNA (1297 nucleotides) under Contacyphon sp. BT0012. RNAcentral describes it as "large subunit ribosomal RNA". The stretch from base 1057 to 1215 matches the Rfam family "Archaeal large subunit ribosomal RNA", at positions 2542 to 2701 of the family's 2987-position model. Lineage: Eukaryota; Metazoa; Arthropoda; Insecta; Coleoptera; Scirtidae. The record is from RNAcentral.
AUUGGAUUAAAUUAUUAAUUUUUUUGUUUAUUGAUUAUAUAUUUAAGAAUUAAAAUUUUAUGUUAAUUUUUAUUAUUUUGUUAAGAAAAAAUUUAGUUUAUAAUAGUUAUUUUUAUUGAAAAAGAUCUUUAAAAUAUUAUUUUAUAAUUUGGAAAGUAGUAUUUAUUUUAUGUACCUUGGGUAUCAGGGUUGAUUAAUUAAAUUUUAAUUAUUUUAAUUUUCUCGAAAUAAGAAGAUCUAUUUUAAUAAUAUUUUUAUUGUAGAAUAAAUAUUUUUAAUAUUAAAAUAGAAAUUAGAAGUUUAUCGUUUCUUAUAUAUCUAGUUUUUUCAUAAAUAAAUUGAAUUUAUUUAUUUAAAAUUAAUGUUUUAAUUUUUUAAGAUUUUAAUGUAAAUAUCUUAUAUUUUUAGGGUUUAGCUUGAAAAUAAAUUUUUAUAAAUUAUUAGUUUUACUAAAUUUGUAAGUUUGGAAGUGUUUAUCAUUAAAAGGAUGUUAUAAUUAAUUUAGUGUAUAGUAAGAUUUAUUGGUUUUUAAUAUAUUUAUGAAAAUAAAUUUUUUAAUUUUUUAGAUUUUUUAAUAAUGAUUAAAUUAGUAUAUUUAUAUGUAAUUAUUUAUUUUAAUUUUAGUUUAAAAUAAGGAAUUCGGCAAAUUUAUUUUUCGACUGUUUAUCAAAAACAUUUCUUUUUGUUUAUAAUAUAAAGUUUGGCCUGCUCAAUGAAGAUUUUAAAUAGCUGCGGUAUUUUGACCGUACAAAGGUAGCAUAAUCAUUAGUUUUUUAAUUGAAAGCUAGAAUGAAUGGUUUAACGAGAAAAUAGCUGUCUAUUUUAAUUAUUAGAAUUUAAUUUUUAAGUUAAAAAGCUUAAAUGGAUUUAAAAGACGAGAAGACCCUAUAGAUCUUUAUAAAGUUUAUAAUAUUAAAUUUUUAGGUUAUUAAAUUUUUUAUUAUAUAUUUUAUUUUAUUGGGGUGAUAUAAAGAUUAAAUAAACUCUUUAGAUUUAAAUUAAUUAUUUUUAUUUUUUUGAUCCAUUUUAAUGAUUAUAAGAUUAAGUUACCUUAGGGAUAACAGCGUAAUUUUUUUGUAGAGUUCAUAUCGAUAAAAAAGAUUGCGACCUCGAUGUUGGAUUAAGAAAUGAUUUGGGGGCAAAAGUUCAAAUUCAAGGUCUGUUCGACCUUUAAAUUCUUACAUGAUCUGAGUUCAGACCGGCGUGAGCCAGGUUGGUUUCUAUCUUUAAAAAUUUAGGAUAUUUUAGUACGAAAGGACCAAAUAUUUAGUAAAUUACUUGAUUUAGAUUAAUAGUA